This 459-nucleotide ribosomal RNA is filed under the name uncultured bacterium. RNAcentral describes it as "partial 16S ribosomal RNA". It matches the Rfam family "Bacterial small subunit ribosomal RNA", at positions 338 to 795 of the family's 1533-position model. The record is from RNAcentral.
CCUACGGGAGGCAGCAGUGAGGAAUCUUGGUCAAUGGGCGGAAGCCUGAACCAGCCAAGUAGCGUGCGGGAUGAAGGCCCUACGGGUCGUAAACCGCUUUUGCACGGGGAUAACACCCUCCACUUGUGGAGGUCUGCAGGUACCGUGCGAAUAAGGGCCGGCUAAUUCCGUGCCAGCAGCCGCGGUAAUACGGAAGGCCCGAGCGUUAUCCGGAUUCAUUGGGCUUAAAGGGAGCGUAGGCGGGCGUUCAAGUCAGCUGUAAAAUCGCGCGGCUCAACCGCGCCCCGCAGUUGAAACUGGACGCAUUGAGUUCACAACAGGCAGGCGGAAUUCGUGGUGUAGCGGUGAAAUGCAUAGAUAUCACGAGGAACCCCGAUUGCGAAGGCAGCCUGCCGGGGUGCGACUGACGCUGAGGCUCGAAGGUGCGGGUAUCAAACAGGAUUAGAUACCCCAGUAGUC